GCCGGGUUGGCGGAACGGCAUACGCGGAGGCCUCAAAAGCCUUUGUCCGAGAGGGCAUGUGGGUUCGAAUCCCACACCCGGCA
RNAcentral lists this transfer RNA (83 nucleotides) under Actinacidiphila acididurans. RNAcentral's name for it is "Streptomyces acididurans tRNA-Leu". It matches the Rfam family "tRNA". Rfam says of the family: Transfer RNA (tRNA) molecules are approximately 80 nucleotides in length. Their secondary structure includes four short double-helical elements and three loops (D, anti-codon, and T loops). Lineage: Bacteria; Bacillati; Actinomycetota; Actinomycetes; Kitasatosporales; Streptomycetaceae. The record is from RNAcentral.